AGAGUUUGAUCCUGGCUCAGAACAAACGCUGGCGGCGUGUCUUAAGCAUGCAAGUCGAGCGGCAAGGGCAGCAAUGCCCCUAGAGCGGCGGACUGGUGAGUAACGCGUGGGUGAUCUACCUUGGGCAUGGGGAUAGCCAUUAGAAAUAGUGGGUAGUACCGAAUACGUUCGUUACCGUGAGGGUAACGAGGAAAGGCGCUACGGCGCCGGCCUGGAGAUGAGCUUGCGUCUGAUUAGCUAGUUGGUGAGGUAAUGGCUCACCAAGGCGAUGAUCGGUAGCCGGCCUGAGAGGGUGUACGGCCACACUGGGACUGAGAUACGGCCCAGACUCCUACGGGAGGCAGCAGCUAAGAAUAUUCCGCAAUGGACGAAAGUCUGACGGAGCGACGCCGCGUGGAUGAUGAAGGCCG
Molecule: ribosomal RNA, 410 nt
Filed under: uncultured bacterium
Lineage: Bacteria
Description: bacterial SSU rRNA
Rfam family: Bacterial small subunit ribosomal RNA
Source: RNAcentral